ACGGAGGAUCCGAGCGUUAUCCGGAUUUAUUGGGUUUAAAGGGAGCGUAGGUGGGCUCGUAAGUCAGUUGUGAAAGUUCGCGGCUCAACCGCGGAAUUGCAGUUGAUACUGCGGGCCUUGAGUGCAGCAGAGGUGGGCGGAAUUCGUGGUGUAGCGGUGAAAUGCUUAGAUAUCACGAGGAACUCCGAUUGCGAAGGCAGCUCGCUGGACUGUUACUGACACUGAUGCUCGAAAGUGUGGGUAUCAAACAG
RNAcentral lists this ribosomal RNA (251 nucleotides) under uncultured bacterium. Its description in RNAcentral is "partial 16S ribosomal RNA". It matches the Rfam family "Bacterial small subunit ribosomal RNA", at positions 525 to 775 of the family's 1533-position model. The record is from RNAcentral.